RNAcentral lists this ribosomal RNA (389 nucleotides) under uncultured bacterium. RNAcentral's name for it is "bacterial SSU rRNA". It matches the Rfam family "Bacterial small subunit ribosomal RNA", at positions 80 to 507 of the family's 1533-position model. The record is from RNAcentral.
GCACAUGUACUUAGGUGGCAGACGGGUGAGUAACGCGUGGGAACGUACCUUUUGGUUCAAGACAACGGCUGGAAACGGUCGCUAAUACUGAAUACGCCCUAGGGGGAAAGAUUUAUUGCCAAGAGAGCGGCCGCGUUAGAUUAGGUAGUUGGUGGGGUAAUGGCUUACCAAGCCUGUGAUCUAUAGCUGGUUUGAGAGGAUGAUCAGCCACACUGGGACUGAGACACGGCCCAGACUCCUACGGGUGGCAGCAGUGGGGAAUAUUGGACAAUGGGGGCAACCCUGAUCCAGCGAUGCCGCGUGAGUGAUGAAGGCCUUCGGGUUGUAAAGCUCUUUUGUGGGGGACGAUGAUGACGGUACCCCACGAAUAAGCCCCGGCUAACUUCGUG